CACUGUAAAAUCAUAUUCUUGUUUAGGUUAGUAAGAAAGCCCUUAAUUAUCCAGAACGUGUGUUCUGAGAGUUCAGUGAAAACAGAUUCUGAGUUAAGUAUUUCAAAGAAGAAAAUAAAUCUAAUUAAAUAGUAAUGCAAAAUAAAUUGAUGUAAGUAGGCCUAUGUUUAAGAACUAUUUAAAGAGUUUCAACUAACUGUUCAAAUCGUGCCUUUAAAGAUUAGUUUGGGUUAAUAUCCUAAGUAAGCAGUUCAGAAGUGAAUAACGAAACAGUCAUAUUACAAACCAGCAUCUAUAUUAUAUGUCGCAGACUUUAGGCAAUCAUUGCAUGUGAAACAUGUGCAUACUUUACUGACAACAGCACCUGUUUGAAGUGUGAUCCUCAGAUAACUACUGAACACGAACAAAUCACAGGUUCGUCCAUCUGAGGUGAAGCAUAGAACCAGAAAAGGAACCAGGUAAGCCAAGUUCAGCCGGCUCGCAAUUAGAUGUGGUAAAUAUUUUUGCCCUUGAUGGACUCUAAACCGGGGGCCUGUUGCACAAUAGUAGAAUGAAGAAAUCCAGGAUAACGCGCAUCGCGGCGUAAUCGGUUGCACGUUUACCAAGCCAGGAUGAGAAGGUGAAGCUAUGUCAAGCCAGGUGUAGAUAGUGGGGAUAAGUGCACUUUCUUAAACAGACCACGGUAUCGAUCACAGAUUUACUGAUGCAGAGAUGGAGAAGACGCGUGCGGCAUAUUUUUCACCCGCUGAGCAGCAAUUAUGGAAAGUUACGAGGAGGUAAAGCAUAUAAUAUGCAGAAAAGGAAAUACGGCUGCUGUUAUUAAACAGAGAGAAAAAGCAUGGCAGACAAUAGCGGACCGACUGAAUGCAACCAAUGUGACUGGGCAAAAAAAGAACCUGGCAACAAGUCAAGAUCAAAUACGAAAACAUUUUGCAGUCUGGUGGAAGGGGCUGCUGCAGCUGAGGAUGAGGAGACUGUGUCACUGGACUCCAGAAGGCCUGAGGUAUCAUGUCAAUCUUAUGGAAAUGCAUAUUUAGCACAUAAUGGAUGAGAAGUCAGUGAUGUAGCACUCAGAAAUUUAUGUAACAGGAUCCAAACGCAGUACAGUCUGACAGCCAGCCUGGCAACAUAGUAAGUAUGGGCUAAUGGGAAUCUAAAUUAUACACAAUUCCUGUUGUGUUAAUCAAUGGGUGGUUUACAGAAUUCACAAACUGUAAGAUGUCUGUAUACACGACAUCUGAAAAAGCAAAUGGAGCUGGCAGAUUGCUAGUUAGCAAAAGGACUCCCCAGGAUCUGGACCUUGGUAUAGAAAUCAAGAAACACUGAGGAAACUGGAUCUGGCGAUACAGAUACUAGAAAAAGUUAGUGACUUCAAUCCACACUGUAUGCAUAUCUGUAAAACAAUGUAUUAAUCGUGUUUUUCUUUUUCUCUCCCAAGCUCCAAACUGACAAGUGA
This is a long non-coding RNA of Esox lucius (northern pike), 1456 nucleotides long. RefSeq lists it as uncharacterized. The transcript has 3 exons. NCBI's taxonomy places the organism in Eukaryota, Metazoa, Chordata, Actinopteri, Esociformes, Esocidae. The record is from RefSeq and is a predicted model, not a curated record.